Molecule: ribosomal RNA, 496 nt
Filed under: uncultured bacterium
Lineage: Bacteria
Description: partial 16S ribosomal RNA
Rfam family: Bacterial small subunit ribosomal RNA
Source: RNAcentral
GAUGAACGCUGGCGGCGUGCCUAAUACAUGCAAGUCGAGCGAACGGACGAGAAGCUUGCUCCUCUGAUGUUAGCGGCGGACGGGUGAGUAACACGUGGAUAACCUACCUAUAAGACUGGGAUAACUUCGGGAAACCGGAGCUAAUACCGGAUAAUAUAUUGAACCGCAUGGUUCAAAAGUGAAAGACGGUCUUGCUGUCACUUAUAGAUGGAUCCGCGCUGCAUUAGCUAGUUGGUAAGGUAACGGCUUACCAAGGCAACGAUGCAUAGCCGACCUGAGGGGUGGUCCGCCCACCCUGGACUUAAGCACCGUCCAGGCUCCCUCGGGAGGCCACAGGAGGGAAUCUUUCCGCAUUGGGGGAAACCCUGCCGGAGCACCGCCGCGUGGGUGAUGAAGGCCUUCGAUUCGUAAACCCCUGUAUUUGGGAAAAAACAUAUUUGUAAGUACCAGUGCCCUUCUGACCGGUACCUAACCAGAAGGCCCCGGUAACUUCCGU